This 2837-nucleotide ribosomal RNA is filed under the name Candidatus Altarchaeales archaeon ex4484_2. RNAcentral's name for it is "bacterial LSU rRNA". It matches the Rfam family "Archaeal large subunit ribosomal RNA". Lineage: Archaea; Nanobdellati; Candidatus Altarchaeota; Candidatus Altarchaeia; Candidatus Altarchaeales. The record is from RNAcentral.
CAUGCAGUGGAUGGCUUGGCUUGAUUGCUGAUGAAGGACGUGGCAAGCUGCGAUAAGCUCCGGGUAGGUGCAAGCAGCCUUUGAUCCGGGGGUUUCCGAAUUAUCCCCCUUAGGGGAUGGGAACGCAGGGAAUUGAAACAUCUUAGUACCUGCAGGAAAAGAAAGCAAUAGCGAUCCGGUUAGUAAAGGCGAUCGAAAGCCGGACAGGGCAAACUGAAUCCCCAGUAGAAAUACUGGGGGGAUGUGGUGUGGCCUUCUUUAAAGCCUUCACUAGCUUAGACGAAGUUUCCUGGAAUGGAAUGCCGUAGACGGUGAUAGCCCGGUAGUCGAAUGCUGGAAAGGCUUGAGAAGGUUCAAGAGUAGCGGGCAUUGGAUAUUGCUCGUGAAUGUUGGAGGCAUUAACUCCAAACCCUAAAUACUAAUCAAGACCGAUAGCGCACUAGUACCGUGAGGGAAAAAUGAAAAGGAUCCCUGGCAGGAGGUGACAAGAACCUGAAAUUGCAUGGUAAUAGCUAGAUACUGCGGUUUUACGUCCAUGUGAAGGACACGAGCAUGGACUUGGCUGUAGUAUCGUCCGUCUUGAAACACGGGACAGGGAGUGUAUUUAUGUGGUGACCCGAAAGGGAUAGCGAAAGCAAAAGUCCGCAUCUCCGUAAGGAGUGAGGGACGUGGUAUUGCUGCCAUGAAUCACGUGGAUACAACCUGAAACCAGGCGAUCUAAUCCGGGGCAGGGCGAAGUCCCACGGCUGUGGGAUGGAGGCCCGCAAGAGUUUCUGGGCUCAAUCCGUUCUCGUGACCCUGGAAUAGAGGUGAAAUGCUAAUCGCGCUUGGUGAUAGCAGGUUCCUCCUGAAAUAGCUCUAAGGCUAGUCUGGCUGGAGAUUAAGCAUGGGGUAGAGCACUGAUUGGAUAGCCAGGGAGAGCAAUCUCCCACUAUCCUGUCAAACUCCGAAUCCAUGUUUAUCUGAGAAGGCUGGAAAGAGGGUUGGGGGGUAAGCCCCUGAUCCGAAAGGGAAACAACCCUGCUUGUGGUUAAGGCCCCUAAGUACAGACUAAGUGUAAGCAAGGGCGUCUUAGGUCUAAGACAACGAGAAGGUUAGCUUAGAAGCAGCUAUCCUCUAAGGAGUGCGUAACAGCUCACUCGUCGAGAUUUAGGGCCUCGAAAAUGGACGGGACUAAGUCUGUCGCCGAUACCACAACGUUCCUGUAAAGGAAAUCGCGUAAGGAGGUGUCUUGCGGGAGCAGAAGCUUCUCCGUGAGGAGUGGUGGAUCCCGCUUGAAUAAGAAUCCUGUCGGUAGUAGCAGCAAAUCCUGGUGAGAAUCCGGGACGUCUGAAGGGCCAGGGUUCCUCAACAAUGAUCUUCAGUUGAGGGUUAGCCGAUCCUAAGGUAACUGUAAUUCAGCUUAACCGAAAGGGAAACUGGUUAAUAUUCCAGUGCCUUACAGGUACAUUCGGCAACGAAAGUUUGUCUCCUGACUCUUCGAGGUAGCUUGGGUACGGUUGUCGCCGUAUCUAAUGGAACUAAGACUGUGGAGUACCGUAACGGUGAGAACCAGUCUAAGUCCUGAAUGGUUCCCUUGAGGGAAUCCAGGCAAUCCUCGGAGACCAUGAAAAGGGAGAUGAUCGAAUCCUGUAAGUUCGUACCGAGAACUGACACAGGUGCCCCUAGGUGAAAAGCCUCAGACGUGGCGAGUUUAACUCUGCUUAGGGAACUCGGCAAAUUAGCCCCGUAACUUUGGGAUAAGGGGUGCCUGCUCUUCGCGGAGCAGGUCUCAGUAACAAAGGGGAUCCGACUGUUUAAUAAAAACGUAGGUCCCUGCUAGUUCGUAAGGAUGUGUAUAGGGGCUGAUACCUGCCCAGUGUCGGUAUGUUAAACUCCGGUUCAACGGAGCUAAGCACCGAUAAACGGCGGGGGUAACUAUGACCCUCUUAAGGUAGCGAAAUGCCUUGCCGCUUAAUUAGCGGCCUGCAUCAAUGGUUUAACGAGAUCCCCACUGUCCCAAGCAGAGGCUCGGCGAACCCACCAUUCUGGUGAAAAGGCCAGAGACUUCCAGUGGGACGCGAAUGUUGGGUUGUGAUUAGUGUUGCGCAGUGUAGGUGGUAGACUUCGAAGUUCCGAUUCCGGUUGGAAUGGAGUCAUCGAUGAGACACCACCCUUUACUGACCGCUUCCCUAAUUCCUGAAUAAGGAAGACACCUGCAGGUGGGCGGUUCGACUGGGGCGGUACACCGUUGAAAAAAUAUCGACGGUAUCUAACGGUUGGCUCAGCCCUGUCAGAAAUGGGGCGUAGAGGACAAGACCAAAAGCCAGCCUGACUGGAUUUCGAUCAACAAGAAAUCCUGGGACGAAAGUCUAGUCUAGCGAACCUCGAUACCUCCUUAAUGGGGGUUCGAGCUGAUGGAAAAGCUACCCCGGGGAUAACUGAGUGGUCGCGGGCUAGAGUACAAAUCGACCCCGCGUCUUGCUACUUCGCUGUCGGCUCAUUCCAUCCUGGCUGUGCAGCAGCAGCCAAGGGUGGGGUUGUUCGCCCAUUAAAGGGAUACGUGAGCUGGGUUUAGAACGUCGCGAGACAGUUUGGCGGCAUCUACUGGGAGUGUAUCCUACCUGAGGGGAAGGCCCAUUUAGUACGAGAGGAACAAUGGGCCGCAGCCUCUGGUGUACCAGUUGUCUGACAGGGCAUGCUGGGUAGCUACGCUGUGGUCGAUAAAGGCUGAAAGCAUCUAGGCCUGAAGCGAUUCCCAAAUAAGAGGUAGGUUAAGGCUCUCCUAUAAGAGGAGUUUGAUAGGCAGGGGGUGUAAGUACUAAGCUUCGGCGAGGUAUUAAGCCUACCUGUACUAA